CUGGAGUUAUUAAAAAGUAAUCAAAUUAAUGUAUCUAUAAUUUGGCUUUUUUGAAAUUAUCACUUCUUCCUUAUUUUAUGGUGUACUAUCUUUUUGCUUUCUUUGAAGAUCUCACAUCAGCAGAUCAGCUUGUUAAGAACACAAUAGCAUUCUGGAAUCUAUUGCACAGGUAUAUAUUGCUGCUUAUUAUCAGUAAGUUUUGUCACUAAGCAACCUAUUUGGAAAUGCUAGGGAGACAGCUCAGGAUGCUUGGAUGACAUUUUUUUUCUUUAUGACAGGAUUCAAGUUUUACCUAAAAAAUAUAUAAUCUCAUAACCUACUUCCCCCGAUAGGGAAGCUGGAAAAGCUGCUUUUAAACCAUGUUGGACACUCAAGCUUUUUGACUUGUUUAUGAACGCUAGUGACUGGAAGCAAUUCUUAAAUGACUAAAAAGACUAGGCACGGGGGAAGUCCUGUCUGAAGCUGGUAUUUACAGGGUUCCUAGAGGAGUUAGCAUCACAAGAAAACAGCUGAGGUAGUGAAGGUCUCAGGUAGGUUUCUAAAGUCCACAGUUCUGUUCUAUAGAAAUCACUGGGAAUCCUGGUAGAGCUCGCUUUGAAUAUGCAAGCUUUCUAUGGAUUGCUAGAUUCUGCAUUUGAAAACUACAAAUAAAUUUGAAAUUGUUUACUUUUGUCAGUGUGACUUAGUAUCUUACUUAGUUUAGUAAAGGUGAAGAAUGUAAAAUUUUGUUCUAAUGAAGUUACAAUUUAUAAUCCUUACAGAACCAAAGUAACAUAAAUCAGUUAAUGAUAUUUAUAAAUUCACUAUGUAAGUAACAAUAUGUUAGCUUAGUAUUUUUAUUGAAUCCUUCAUGCUGCACAGAAGUCUCCCAUCUGAUAUUUAUUGCUGAACUAUCAGGUGCUUUCUUUUGCUGUGCCAGCAGCUUCUAAAGAAAAGUCAUGUAAGUAAUGACCUAAUUUGCUUUUCUAGAAAAUAAGGGCGUAUGUUUAUCUAGAAAGAGCUUGAUUAAUCAAUCCUAUUAGAGCUCAUUUUACAUUGCUGGUUGGAAGCUGAAAUCAAACUCCAGUACGAGAAAAGGAAGUGCUCAAACCAUGGUUCAGUUUCUGAAAGAUUUGCUAGCAGAGUAUUCCUUUUUUUUUAUCAGUUCUAAGACUUACUUGGUGUUAUAAAAGAGGUCUGGGUUAUGGAAUUGGGUGCUUUCUUUUUUUUCUCUCUAACCAGUUUAUCUACCAACAAACAACCUGUGGAACACCAUAUAAAUCCUUUAGCAAAUCAUCUGGCUUAUACUGUCAAACUGUUAACAAAAAUUGCAUCCAUGUUCCCCUUUUAUUUUGACAAAAUCCCAAGACAUGCUACUUAAUUUGGUCAUUUUUGUAGUAAAAAUGCAAGACAUUUCUUAGAAAAAAAAUACCUUUUGUGAUAAGUCUUACUAAUUUUAAUUUUUGAAACUGUGUGUUUUCAGUUCUCAGUGGAUAAUAUGUAAAAUUCACCCUAAUAACCAACUGGUCUUUGAUUUAAAAAAAAAAAAAAGUCUAGUGGUGAGGUUUUGGAAAGGCAAAAUGGUAGAAGUACAGGGAAACUAUUAAUUAUGCUUAAAAUUGUAUAAAGAUUGUCCCUUUUAAAUGUUGUAUUGAUCUGCCAAAAUCCGUCAAAAGAAUUCUUGAUAAAUCUAUUAUUGCUGCUGUUUCUAUCUGUUCACAAAAAGUUGUGUUAACAGUGAUCUUUAGCUCUCAUUUGUUGAAAAAAAAUCAGAAUACAGAACUGAGAUGACCUAAACUGCCCUUUCUGAUUGAUCUGUAUCUGACAGCUGUACAGGCCAGUAGUAUCACAAACUGCAAUUUAAACAAAGCCAAGUGAGAAAUCCUAUUUGGAAACUGUUGGGAACUGUUUGAUAUUAAGAGGAAAACAGUUUGAUAGGCAAAUUUUCUGUUAGUGUAUGCACAUCAACAUUCCUUGAAAAAAUAACACUACUGAAUGCCUUAAAAGAUGUCUUGAAUUGUGUUUGUGGCUGGGCUUGUAUUAAAUUAGUUGUUCUUGCCAUGAAGAGAAAGAACAGAUUUAUAGAUACAGUUCUCACCAGAAUGCUUUUACCCUGUUGUAAUUCCGGAAGGCUCACUGUUGGGAGCUGUCGCUGCCUAUAGAGGUAAGAAAUUGGAUAUGAGGUCUUUCUUUCUACAAUAGUUCACUCUGCAUAAUAGAACAUAAGUUAAUGAAGUUCAACUGUUACUUCACAACUUUUCCCAUUGUAUGAGAUGAGCAAAGCCAUAGAAGGCAGUUAUGGAGAGAGAACAUAAAGGAGGAAAUUAUGGCUAACCCAGGUCUGUUAUCUAUGUGAGCAUUGAGCUGAUCAGUUCAUUUGUUCCAUGCCUCAUUUUUCCCCUUGUUAGAGAAAAGUUUAAUUUGUGCUUGUACAGUAUUUUGAGCAUUGGUCUUAAACGUCACUAAUAGUACUAUUUCUUGUCUGUACUAUACCCAAACAUACAACGUUGAUGCCUGGCAUUCAGGCCAAGUCAGAAAUGUACAGAAAUGUCUUUCUUAUUGCAAUUUUGCUUCAUUGUGAUAUCAGGAAGACCAUUAGUGUUGUACAAAAAUAAACUUGUUACUUCAUCCCACAUACUGGAUGUGGUAGGUUUCAGUAGCAACCACAAAAUUGCAGUCCCACGGGACCACAAAAUUAGAAGAAUGUAUUGUUAAGUGCAAUUACAAACAACCUUGCUUCUGCUUGUGUAAGCACAAGGGCUUCACAUUAUGCUAAAAUUGUGUUUGAACACGAAAUUGUAAUCUUACCACAAAGUUCAGAAGUAGGUGGAACAAAGCAAGCAUACAUCAUGAGGACCUGAGUUCAAAGAUCAUUCCUGUCAGUCAGAAAAAACAAGACAGUGAUAAACUAAGUAUCCAUGUAAAAUUUGCUAUGCUUGGAGUCUACCACCAAGGGCUACCUUCAUCAAUAUUCUUAAGUGAAUAAAGCUGUAGAAGAGCAUCUCCACAGGGAGAAAAAUGUAUUGAGCCUCGAUCUUGGACAAGUUGAGCAAGUAUUUAAAUUGGUGUGCUCCUGUACUUAAUGGGAAACUGUGCAGUAACAAUGUUUGUCAAGAUCCACAUCAGAAACUCAGCACAUAAGUACACUGAGAGUGGGUCUAAUGAAGACAACCUAACCGAUAAUCUGAAUGAGCUCAGACAGAGCCAUUUGAUUUGCCUGUGUGCUUUUAGUUCUUGAAAUAGAGGUUAAUUUAUGAACACCUGGAAGCAUAUCUUCCAUGUUCCCAAUUAACUUUUAAUUCCCAAAUAUUUCUGUAAAUAAGUAGCAGCUAAACACAGACAGCAAAAUUGCAGCAUCUCAUUUCCAGUUUGGAAUGCACUGACUUCUUUCUUUGCACAAUCCAUGCUGCUGUGGUGACUUCAGGCUAUAGAGGAACCCAUGAGAAAUGCGUAAAGCUCUUUUUAAGAUUAAUCCCUGAAGAUCAGUCCAUAUUCUAGGAAAAUAUAAGUGAUUCACAGUUUAUUAUUUCAGUUCACAGAUCUGUUGCAAUAUCCUACAAAUAAUAAUAUUUUUAAAAAACGGCAUUCACCAUGAAGGCUUUAAAAGAUAACAACAAUUGAAGCUAGUCAAUAUAAGAUGUGAAGUAGGUCUAGUAAGUUCUGCCUCGUUACUCUAACAAGUCAAGUGCAGCUCAAGGGUUAUGAUGAGAUAAGUUUAGCAAGCAAAUCUUCCUCUGGGUUCUUUCUUCACUGUGAUUUUUUUUUUCAGUGGCAAAUGCAGUAUGGACUUGUCUUAGCAGUUUCUUGGCUUUCAGAACAGGUAUGAAACAAUGCAAUCAACAACCAGUCUUAGGUGCUUUUGAGGAAAGGCUGGGUAAUAUUCGCCAGUGUGGGCAAGUAUUUGUACCUAUAAAGCAAAAGAAGUCACAGAACAAAAUAAGUUUCUCGUGUCAUAUUUGUAAUGCAUACAUAUAAAUAUGAGCAGCUAGUAUGAAAUAUUAUCUGUAACACAGAAAGAAAAACAAAGAAAAAGCUAGCAGCUUUUUAAAUCAUAGAAGUUUUUUAAACCGUAAGUGAACUCAAAGCAGACUAAUGGACCAUAUCUUAACUUGUCAGAAGAACCGUGAUAAGUUACUGACAUCUUCUAGAUGGCUGUUGCAGUUCACUUCCCCUAAAUCUUCAUUGAAAUCAUUAGAAAUACAGCAAAAAAUAUUGUCACAGAAAACUGCCAAUCUGUUACAGUUGAAGGAUGUGAUGAUAAUUUUUAUAUUCUUCCUAAUUAUUGACUAACAGACACCUUUAUUAGCAGGUACUUUCUGCUCUGUGUUUUGCUGGUGUAAAUUCAAAUUCUGCUAAAGUUCACUGAUUUACUCAAAAAUUAUGUAGAUGUAACUGAUAGCAGAAUUUGGCCUUGUGUGCCCUUCCAAGAGUGUUACAUUUGAAGAGAUAAAGAGUAAUAUUGAUUUAAUGGCAGGUGAACGGGAAUAUUAAGAAUCAUCUGUAAAUAUUUAAAGGCUGCAAAGAUAAACAGGAGGCAAUUUUCUACUGCAUGUUCCAAGAAAGGUUUUAACUUAGUGUACAGGGAUAAAACUGAGCAAAGAAAAAUAUAUAAAAGUUAUGGAAGCAUUAUUUGUAAAAAACACUUCGAAAUCGGUCUUAUAAUGUGUAAACAUUUCUCUGUGAAUGAAAGGACAUCCGCUGUGUAAUUUACAAAAUGACAUGAGGUUACAGCUUUGCUAUUGUGUUAUAAAGCACUCUAAAGCUGCCUAGUGGAGACCAAAAUAGGGCUUGAUGUCUGCCUUUCUGAUUUCUCAGCUGAAAUGGAUUGAUUUCUCCCUCCUGCUGUUCUGUCUUUGGGAAGGACAUGCAUGACCAUCUGAAUCCAGACAGACAGCUUUUUCAAGUUGACUUGAUAUGCUGAUCAGUUUUAAACAUGCACGAAAUCAGCUUACCACGAAGAAUUCCCAUUCUUUCAAGAUGUUUUUACUGUGAAUGACAAAAGUGUUGGGUAGCAAAUCUUUUAGUUAAGUUGAUUUGGGUCCAGACAAAGAGAGUCAUAUGAACAUGACAUUAUCAUCUCUUUCCUAAUGUACAUUACUUCAUUUGCAGCAAUGUUAAAUAUCACCAGAACAUCUUUGAAACGUAGUGGUUUCAAUAGUAGUUCAAGGCCUGUUCUCCCCCUCUCAGUAAUGGAACCUGUACAUAUAAAUUUAGUGUCUUGAGCUGAGUAGUUACCAGACUUGAAGCUGGUUUGGUAGUCUCCCAGAAGUCUUAUUUUAAGUGCCUUAAACUGAACCAUAACAACAUCUGCCCAGCAUAAAUUAUAAUUCUCCAAAAUGCUCUGUACUCAUUCAUAUAAGUAAUUUAUAGUGACCGUUUCAACUUUGUUCCAAUGAACACUUUCAAAUCCAGGCAGAAAUAGCAUCACUCCACAAACAGGGGCAUGCCUUCUUCAGCCACUCCUUGUGUGCAUCCAUAUUAUCACUGUUCUGCCUGCCUAUUUCCGCAGCAAAAUCCCUACCAGCACAAGCCAACUAAGCCUCCUUUUUUGAGACAUAAAUCUUUCCUUGUUCACCAAUAAACAGUGGAAAUUGCAGCAGGUCAGUGAUAUGAGCUUUCCCUCAAGCUUGACCAGCUACACAAGAGAAUGUGAAUGCUUCUGUUGACUAGCUUUUUGGAAACCACUGUUUGACAACCAGUUGUUAUUUUGGAUAUACUUUUAGCCAUUUGGGGUAAUUUUUCCCAUGCCCAGUGGUUCCCAUGGGACCCACUGCCCAUGGAAGUGGGUCUUUCUUUCAAGCCAUCCAUAAAUCAUGGGAAGUCCUGCAAGCUGAUGUUACUAAAUGCAAAAUGAUACACACCACUCUUGUGUUGAUAAGUAGCCUACUCAGCUCUGUUUAUGGAGCCUUCCUGCACCUCUGCAAGUUUCACUUGAUUUCUAAACCUUCAAAAUAAUUCAGGGAAGUGCUGCAUAACACUAAAGGAUAUUUUACUUUCCUUGGCACAGUGUCAAUUUCUACUGUUUUUCAGCAGAUGGAAGUUCAUGUGCCCAUCUGAUCCACUGAUUCUUCAGGUCUACCUUUAAUAAUGGGCGCUACAUGCAGUUCUCAAGAAUGACAAAGUCUGGGGUCCCUACUGCCUGUGAGUCACUUGGUAGCUGGCAGUUAUCAUGAAUCCCAUCAAAGAUGAUGACAUGCAAAGUGAUGGGUGUAGCACUCCACUCAGGAUCUCAAAAUUUUAGUGAUUGGAAGGAACCUCUGGAGAUAAUCUAGUCCAAGCCCCUGAUAAAGCAGGUUCCCUAGUAAGGCAAAGAAAAUUGUCUUGGCAGGUUUUGAAUAUAUCAAGAGAAGGAGACUCCAUACCCUCUCUGGGCAGCUUGUUCCAUCACUCUGCCACCCUCACAAAAUUUUUUCUCAUGUUGAGAUUGAACACCCUAUGUUUGUGCCCUUUGUCCCUUGUCCUUUUGCUGGGCACCACUAAAAAGUGCCUGGCUCUUGUAUUUUGAUGGUAUUUUGGCAUGUCAUGGUAUUUUGAUUAUUUGAUAAUACCAUAAUUGAUAAUUUAUUUGAUAUUCAGACAUGGUGAGUAUAGCCAAAGCAUGAAGUGAUAAUACUUCUCCUCCAUUCCUGGGGACCAACAGGCAGUCCAGAUGUGCGCUAGAAACACUUCUACUUACUCCAAAGAUCUAACCACACUUCCUAAGUACCAUGGAUCUGAGGACUACUUCCACACCAAGUAGCUAUGGUCAGGACUUGGGGAUGCACUGUUCCUGACACUGAUCAGCUAGAUCAGCCUUGUAUCUUCCUAUCUCCUCCUUCUUCACUAACACAGCAAGGAGAAUUUGAAGAGACAGGGGAAGAGUGCAGGAGAAGUCAAAGACAGGGUCAUUUCCUUGUGAAAUUAAGAAACAAAGUGUAACAGCUGUCAAAGCUGAAUUCUAAGCUUUAGACUUUCAGUGUUGCCUACCAUGCAAAAAUAAAUAAACAACCCCUUAAAAAAAAAAGAAAAAAAAAAACAAGAACAAAAAAACAAAACAAAAAAAAAAAAAACAGGAAAGAAAUCAUGUCUGCAUGAAAACGUCAGUAUUAAGAGUUCUUCAACACAUGAGGACAGAUCCAGACCGAGAGAUAUAGAAUUGGUGUACAAGAGAAAGCCCUCAUUUGAACUAAUGGAACAUAAAACAAGAAAGUUACAUUCACCUAGCAAGUAGAUGAAAUUGUCUUUAACCUCUAAUACGUGAUUACGGUAAAUUAUCUGAAUGGAUUCCACAGUGAGUCUCCGAACCAAAACCACACUACAAUCACCAAUAAAAAAAUAUCAUUUCUGCUUUUCUAUUAAUGAUGCUACUUGAAUGGGCCAUCUAAUGUCCCUGUUUAUGCAGUGUCCCCGUUCCUACUGUAAUGAGAAGACCAUAUACAUAAUAAACAAAAAUUAUAACAAGUGCUGUUUAUAUUAUUCUAUUCUUCCAAUGAAUAACACAGAACAGAUCUUUGUGGGGGCUGCCUGCUGUCACUUUUUUAGCUCAGUAUUUUGCCCUUGGACCUUUCCAAGUGGAAACAACUGAAGGACGUGAUGAGAGAGGCAGUGCGGGCUGGUGUUGGCAGAGCACUGGUUUGGGAACCAAAAGAUUAGCCAUGGAUUCACAACUCUGUCUUCUGCAAGUCAUCUCAAUCUCUGCAAGAUAUGAAGAGACAGACUUAGACAUCUCAGAACUGUUCUUGGUGUGAUUUUAUUGUGCCCUAGAAUGUAGGGAAGGACCAGAAGUCCCAAAUCUGAGGCUCCUUCAAGCUGCACUAGCAAGAGCUCUACAGGGGAGUCAGUGCAACCAGAAGUUGCUUUGGCUGUUCCACUUCCUACUCAACACCAACCACCUUUCUGAAGGCUGUGUGAGCUACCUGCUCCAAGUCCCUGGAAAAGAAGAAAAUCUGAAACAGUUUCAUUUCCUGGAGGUCUUCCUGCCUCUGGGUUUCUACACCAUGCUUUAAGUGGGUGUAAGCCUUGGACAGAUCUUGCAAGUUCUGCUGUUACAUCAUGAUAUACCAAGAUAUAACUCUGCUACAAGAAGUAAUUUUUGUUCAUGUCAUGAAAAGCAAGAUUGAUCCAGAAAUAGCAGUAAAGUUACUCUGUAUCCCUAUGAACUAACUUCUGUGGGAAUAGCCCUGGGAGAAAAAGAUGAGCAUAUUUGGCAUAUCUGUGCUAUACCUUCUCCAGAUUAUGAACAUGAGUUUAGCUCAAACAAGAUGUAAACAAAGAUUUUUUUCAUGCAAACUAGCAUCCAUACAUUCCUGUCUCCUACUGGGAGUGAAACUUUUCCUCUAUUCUCUCCAAAGAACGUCAAGGUGUUUGAUCAUUUCUACCUGCCUGUAGGAAAUUAGCAUGCAAAAUCUCAGUGAGAGCCCUUGUUUUGGAAUGGGAAGAUGAUUAAACAGCUCACUGUGUUAUUUUCUCUUACCCAUACUCUCAUAUGCACCAAGACCUGUGUGCCCAAGUGGCCUGGCCAGCGUUGCACCCUGUGACAUGAAAGAUGAUGGAGGCCAGGUGUUACAUCCUUAGUACGUAUUUUGAUUUCAUUUUGGCUGGUGAUGAUAAACUGGUUUUUGAACACAUCUUUUAUAUAAGCUUAGGGAGUCAACAGUUGUAAUGAGGCAAUACUUUUCUUCAGAAGCUUGUUGGUAUCAGUCUCUAACUAUCUUAGGUAAGGUUGCUGUCCAUCAACUUUUUAUUAAUUGGUAGUAUCUAUUUGGCUAAAAAUCUGUUUCAUUUGUGAGUUAACAAGAAGAGGAAUAACAAAUGCAGGGAAGUAUAACUGUUUUUGUCAUUGUCCUGUGAUCAGUGUUCAAGUCUUCUGCACUGUGGUCCAGUCCAGUGUGGGCCUUCUGAUCUUAAUGCCAACAACAUACUAGUGGUUUUACUGCUGUUAAUUGAGUCCUUGCAUAUCAAGAUAGACCAUUUUCGUAACCCCUGCUGCAUUAUUUUUUCUCCUGUUUUCAUACAAUAUUCAGGUGUUUUGUCUGUAAAAGUAUUUUUGUUACAAAUCUCUUCGUGCUGGCCAACUCAACUGCAGCAAGCCCCAUUUUCCUAAAGAUGAUAUGAUAUGGCCGCAUGUUUAUACCAGGCUUAAGAGAGUUUUAUGGAACUUGCUCAAAGUCCACAAUACUUACCCGACCACAAUAGUCGGUUUUCUACCCCUUCUUCUCAGUUCCACCAGCAGCCUGCAUAUUCAGCACAGCAAGAACAAAUACAGUAUGACUUUCUGCUUUUGAGUGAGGGACUGCUCUCCCAGGCCUUAAAAUAGACAGAGACUUUCAAGAGAUUUGAAAAUGGAACCUAGGAGCCCAUUGUGCAUUUUUGAAAGACAUACUCUGUAUCUGUAUCACAUUACUGCUCAGCUGCUUGGCUUUUCCUAGACUAUCUGAAAGUGGAUAUGUGCUUCUGUGUUCCAAAGGGGGCUUAUUUUAAUAUUGUAUUAAAAUACUGUCAAUGAAAUCUUGUUACUUUAAUUAGGUGGCAACCACUGCAAUCUUGGGUCUUAAGACUUUGAGUAAGAAAAGGUUGAUUGCUGAGAUAGCUUUCUACCAGUAUGGACUUCACAGAAUUUAUUUUACUGCAAAUGUUACUGCUGUCUUUCUCGAUGUCUCCCAAAUUUUGCUGGGCACACAAUGCCAGAACAAUGUAUAUCUGAAAAAUAAAAAAGAUGCAUGUGUGUUUUCCAGAGAGAGUGAAUUCACAGACUAAAAAGACAAGCUUAACCAAAAUGAAAUAUCUUUUAGAUAAGGCUUUUCUAAUGCAAUCAGGAGCUCUAGAACUUACACAAAAAAUUCUUAUUCAGACCUCUUUGCUAAUACUCCAGAAUUCAGAAACCUGUUGGCUGCAGAUCAGUAUAUGGGAUGGACUUGUUUUGUUCCAAUUCAGAAUUGCUGAACAAUAUAAGACUAUGAUGUAAACUUCAAUUCUCGACUACACACCAUUUUGUCUUAGUCUAGGUAUCAAGACUCUGUGUGUUAGGACUGCCAGAUAUUCCAGUGAAAUCACAAUUUCUGCUAUUAUGUAAUUUCUGAAUCAAGCAAAAGAAGUGCACAUAAUUUCUUCACCCUUCCCAUAUUGUAUUCACUCAGCUGCAUAUGCUUAACAAGAAAUUGUAAGUAGGAAGCUGUCCCCUGCUCUAGCAACUCUGGGUCAUAACAGGUCUUGGUAGUCACUUUCCAACUGGACUGACUAAAUGCAAAAGCAAUACAUCCUAGAGACUUCAAAGAAUUUAUCCUAGUUUUCUGUACUAACAUCUAGCAACUGUGUUUAACCCAGAACCCUAGCCCCUCUUGCCUUCCAGGAUGUUCUCAGCACAUGGGGAUCUUCAGAUGCCAUGAUCAGCCCUUGUCUUUUUUCCUCUGUUCUACUGAAGGGAGAAAUUCAGGCAAGAUCAAGGAUACUAGGACACAAGAGAGUACUUCCCACAAAGUACUCCUUUCAACAGAGUGACUUGCUGGAAAUCUGUGGUGGCAGCUAUGUCAGCACAAUUUAGAGAAGCUGUUUUAGUCUAUGGACUAGCCUUGCUAUAAGAAAACUGAUAAAAGUGAUGGAAACCUGGGAUGAAAAGCCAGCUCUGCACCCUCUUCUGUCCACUAUGUUCUGCUGCCCUAAUGAUGUGUAAACUGCAAAAUUAUGCUUCAAACAUUUCUUAGGGAAAAGCAAGCAACGCUUGGAAGUAAAUAUUACAAUACAUAUUUUAAAGACAGUGACGUCUCUGAGAGAUUAAGCUUUUUCUUUAUAGGAGUCACAUGCUUCGGGAAUGAGCAGGUCUUCAGACAGAACUAUAAAACAAUGUAGGAAAUCAAUGUUCUGUCCCUGUAACAGUGGCCAUGAGACUUGUUUCCCAUCUGCUUUGGCCUCCCACAGAGGCUCUGUAGCUGUGCUGAAAGGGCGUGAAAAUAUUGUGACACUCCUUGCUAAAAAUUACGUAUGAACUUUGCAUAGCUGAAAAAUCAUGAGACAAAAUAAAAGGCAGUAGAGAAAGUGGUAUGAAGAUUUUCACUGUGAGCAAAAGGCAGAAGAUAACUUGAGCACUUGCUUCAACCAAGACAGAGAGGCUCUGAAAUGCCACUUGGUACAAUCCCCUCUCGAGAGUGUAGUCCGUAUUUCAUACAUCACUGAUUCUGACUUCCCACCUUCAAAGUUGCCAUCUCUUCCUUGUCACUCACAGUACUUAGACUUGUGGCCUCAUGUUACAUCCCUGUUAAAGGGAAACUGAGUGUCACGCCUGAUUUGCUCACUUCGGUUGUACAUCCGGGUACUCUCCUUACUAAUGUUGGGGCAUCUCAAAUGAUACAAGUUCUGUGCUGUGAAAAAAUGCCAGAUAUAUUAGCAAAAGUAUUUGCAUAAAGCUCAGUAAUUUUUAUCCACCUCAUGUAUUGAUGAACCCCAUAAAACUAAUUAAGAUGGAUGUCUGAUCAUAGAAUCAGAGAAUCUUUUGAAUUGGAAGGGACCUCUAAAGGUCACCUCGUCCAAAUCCCUUGUAAUGUACAGAGACAUCUAGAUGAUAGACAUCAGAGAAAGAAGAAAACAGCAUCAGUGAAAAAUGUAAUCAAUUAAGUUAGACAGUCUCAAGAAGAAGAGGAAAUGAGGAUGCUCAUAAUUUACAAAAAAAAAAAAAAAGAGAGAGAGAGAAAAGAAAAAAGAAAAGAAGUAAAAGAAAAGAAGCACUAGGUCUUGAGAAAAAGAAACGGUGAAACAGUAGGGAGGAAUUGCCAUUUCCCUCUCUCUAGUUCUUUAAUGCAUUAUGAAAGUCUUUGUCUUACAAAUGUACUGAGAUAGCUCUGACAGGAAGGCUUUUGGUUUAUUUCCUUGGAGACUACAAGAGAUACAAAAAGCACAAUAACACUAUUUGAUGCAAAACACUAUUUUUCAACAUAGUCACUACCAUAUGUUAUUCAUUUUCACUGACAAUGAACAAGAACCUACCUGCUGGGCUUGUCAACAUCUGCAUGGCUUUCCAGCACAUGACUUGUCAUUCACAUCACUGUUGCCACUGCUGAAACACACCACUCACCACCUCAGUGUGUUAACAUCCACUGUUUGUUCUCCAUAAAUGUUCAGCAAGCAUCAAUGAAUGUCAAUGGAUGUUUUUUUUUUUUUUUUUCCUGCAUGGAGGAAUUCA
Molecule: long non-coding RNA, 12130 nt
Filed under: Gallus gallus (chicken)
Lineage: Eukaryota; Metazoa; Chordata; Aves; Galliformes; Phasianidae
Source: RNAcentral